Molecule: ribosomal RNA, 430 nt
Filed under: uncultured bacterium
Lineage: Bacteria
Description: bacterial SSU rRNA
Rfam family: Bacterial small subunit ribosomal RNA
Source: RNAcentral
GUUUGAUCCUGGCUCAGAGCGAACGCUGGCGGCGUGCUUAACACAUGCAAGUCGAGUGCGCAGUCUUCUGUAGCAAUACAGGAGAUCGGCGCACGGCGCACGGGUGCGUAACACGUGGGUAACCUGCCCUCCAAAGGGGGAUAACCCGCCGAAAGGCGGGCUAAUACCGCAUGACAUUCCGGUGGCUUCGGCCGCUGGAAUCAAAGCCCGCAAGGGCGUUGGAGGAGGGGCCCGCGGCCGAUUAGCUUGUUGGCGAGGUAACGGCUCACCAAGGCUUUGAUCGGUAGCCGGUCUGAGAGGAUGGCCGGCCACACUGGAACUGAGACACGGUCCAGACUCCUACGGGAGGCAGCAGUGGGGAAUCUUGCGCAAUGGGCGAAAGCCUGACGCAGCGACGCCGCGUGGGGGAUGAAGCUUCUCGGAGUGUAAA